GUUCCUAUUCUCACCUACCCCCAUGGGAGUUAAAUAGGGAAAGGAAAAUGAAAGUGAGAACCAAACCACCUCUCAAUCCAACCGGCCUACCUACCCGCCCACCUUAGCAGUUAGCAGCAUCAAUUUCCUAAUGAACCACAGGGGAAGGAAACCAAAUCAUCACCCUUGUUCAAAGCUGAUACAUGUUUUAUGUACUUGGUUACGCUCGGAUUGACAUUGUGAAGGAGCUCGAAUUGAGAUUGUGAAGGGAAGAAAAGAAUGGAGUUCCUUCAAGGAAUUUGGGCUCUGUUCUUUUGUUUAUAUUUUCUUAGGAUUCAACGGAUGGAUGGUUGAAGGAAAAUAUUGAAGAAUUAUUAUUUUUUUCUAAGUUUCUUUUGAGACGAGGAUGACUGAUGAGAUUUAUGAAAAUGUUUGAUUGUUAUA
Momordica charantia (bitter melon) is the source of this 423-nucleotide non-coding RNA. NCBI's taxonomy places the organism in Eukaryota, Viridiplantae, Streptophyta, Magnoliopsida, Cucurbitales, Cucurbitaceae. The record is from RefSeq and is a predicted model, not a curated record.